This is a long non-coding RNA of Solanum dulcamara, 1909 nucleotides long. RefSeq lists it as uncharacterized. The transcript has 3 exons. NCBI's taxonomy places the organism in Eukaryota, Viridiplantae, Streptophyta, Magnoliopsida, Solanales, Solanaceae. The record is from RefSeq and is a predicted model, not a curated record.
AUGUAAUUUUGUAUUGGGCCUAAAAGCAGACCCGUAUCACUUUGUUGUGGUAUGGCUGUCCCUCUUCUUCUGCAUUUAAUCCGUAACCCUAGAUGUGAUGUGACCAACUCCAACAAGGAAUGGGGUGUUGUAGUUGUAGGGAACUGGUUGACUAUACAAACCUUUUGGUUCCUGUAAGAUGGUAACGUAAAGCGGCCAGUUAUCCGAGUUCAAGUUGUUCUUUAAAUUAUGGCAGAAAUAGUUGUUGGAGAAGAUAGAAUAUCAGAGUUGCUUGUACACUUAAUUCAUGACAUCUUAGGUUAGGUUCGUUCAGACGGGCUCAAAGAAGAAGCUCGAACUUGUGUCUUGUCUAAGACAUGGAAUUUAAUUUGGAGAAGCCGACCUGAUACGAUCCUUAAAUUCUGCCACUAUAGUUUCUUCAGAAAUUUGGAGGAUUUUGUUAAACUCGUUGAUGAUUCCUUGCGGCCCUAUGUCGAGCAAAAGCUGAGAAUUGAAACGCUCUGCCUCCAACAGCUUCAUCCUCGGGGAUUGCCUUGUCACAGUCAUGUGGAUCGUUGGUUGGAAUUGGCAAUUAAACUCAACGUCAAAUUUCUAGAAAUUGAUGCAGCUUGGUUCGGUUCAAACUACUACAGCAUACCUGAUUCUAUUUAUGCUGCAAAGACGCUGACUAGAUUAUACCUAAGCGGGUGCAACUUUGGAAUUGAUAAUAGCACCACCACCAACAACGACUUAAAAAUUAAGUCGUUGCAUGGGUUUCAAGAAUUUGCAUAUUUCGAGGCUAGUAAAUCUGGAGAAAUUGGAGCUAUCGAGGUGUAAAAAACUCGAGAAGAUAGAAAUUUCGGCUCCAAAUCUUAAGAAAUUCACAUAUGUUGGUGUGCCUUUGGAAGAAUACCCCACCACACGUGAACCAGAAUUGUUGCCAUGCACAAUUGAUAUUUUAGAUGGUCAUAAAACUUUAGACUAUCUCCACUUGGAAGCUACCACCAUGACCGACCGCAGUUUGAGUAUCAGUUAUCCAUGUUUCCAGCCCUUGAAGGAACUCGAAGGAUACCAUGUAAUGAAACAUAUAAAAGUUGUGGGUGAAAAACUUAAGAAAUUCAGAUUGUGGCAUUGGCGGAAUUUGGAGAAAGUGAACACGCUGGCUCCAAAUCUGAUGGCAUUCUAUUUUGAGGGUCCCAAAAUGCCCUUCUCAAUCACAACACAAGUAUGAAUCUUUCUAACCUGGAAACAAGGCAGACUCGAUUUUUAUCUGCAGCCAUUUGAUUCUUACAACUUCGGAGAUGUAGACACAAGAUGGUUCAAGAAUGUUCUAAGCUUCGUUCAAAAGUUCAACUAUUCUAACGGCCUGACAUUAAUAUUUCAUUGCGAGGAGAGUAUUCUUAUUUAUGAAGCUCCAAGAGCAAUUCUGCUUCCACCUACUCGAAAGCUGGAUCUAUACAUUGAGAAUCACAUGAUGCCUCUUGAGUCAUUGGUCGAUGAUAUGAUGUUUGCUCAGCCCAAGAUAAUGUCCAUAGUGCAUGGCGUUGAUAGCAAAAUUCUCCAGGUUUUCCAUGAGAUGACAGCAGCAUACACAAAGAAGCAAAACAGAAGGCUAAAAGAAGUCACUGAUCACAAAGGCGCAGCUGAGGAAGGCGGCACGUCUCAUUUGUGCACUUGGCUGAAAUCAAAGUCUCUAAUUGAACGGAUUACCACUUUUAAUUUUAAAUGGGCUUAACCUACUUUCUCAGAUCGUCUCAUUCAUAGUAUUACUUGCGUUUUGAGUUGUAUAUGGAAUUCUGGAAUGAAUGCACUCCCCCUAUUUUUGUCUUAUUAUCAACAUAUGUGGAGAUUCAGAUCUGUCCUUUUGCUCAAUUUUUAUUGCACUACUGAAUCAUUCCGUAACGAGGUAAUGAAGUGUCUGAGUGUAAAC